GCUGGGUGUGGUGGCACACACCUGUAAUCCCAGCGACUGGGGAGGCUGAGGCAGGAGGAUUUCAAGUUCAAAGCAAAAAGCGAGGUGCUAAGCAACUCAGUGAGACACAGUCUCUA
This 116-nucleotide small RNA is filed under the name Marmota monax (woodchuck). The record is from RNAcentral. Lineage: Eukaryota; Metazoa; Chordata; Mammalia; Rodentia; Sciuridae.